Molecule: ribosomal RNA, 662 nt
Filed under: uncultured organism
Description: bacterial SSU rRNA
Rfam family: Bacterial small subunit ribosomal RNA
Source: RNAcentral
GGCUUAGAGUUUGAUCAUGGCUCAGGAUGAACGCUGGCGGCGUGCCUAACACAUGCAAGUCGAGCGAAGCACUCCACUUUGAUUUCUUCGGAUUGAAGAGUGGUUUGACUGAGCGGCGGACGGGUGAGUAACGCGUGGGUAACCUGCCUCAUACAGGGGGAUAACAGUUAGAAAUGACUGCUAAUACCGCAUAAGACCACAGCACCGCAUGGUGCAGGGGUAAAAACUCCGGUGGUAUGAGAUGGACCCGCGUCUGAUUAGCUAGUUGGUAAGGUAACGGCUUACCAAGGCGACGAUCAGUAGCCGACCUGAGAGGGUGACCGGCCACAUUGGGACUGAGACACGGCCCAAACUCCUACGGGAGGCAGCAGUGGGGAAUAUUGCACAAUGGGGGAAACCCUGAUGCAGCGACGCCGCGUGAGCGAAGAAGUAUUUCGGUAUGUAAAGCUCUAUCAGCAGGGAAGAAAGUGACGGUACCUGACUAAGAAGCACCGGCUAAAUACGUGCCAGCAGCCGCGGUAAUACGUAUGGUGCAAGCGUUAUCCGGAUUUACUGGGUGUAAAGGGAGCGUAGACGGAUAGGCAAGUCUGGAGUGAAAACCCGGGGCUCAACCCCGGGACUGCUUUGGAAACUGUUUAUCUAGAGUGCUGGAGAGGUAAGUG